This 221-nucleotide long non-coding RNA is filed under the name Musa acuminata (dwarf banana). RNAcentral's name for it is "long non-coding RNA (MACU_LNC011175)". The record is from RNAcentral. Lineage: Eukaryota; Viridiplantae; Streptophyta; Magnoliopsida; Zingiberales; Musaceae.
UUCAAGUCAAAUCGUUAACUUAAAACUCAUAAUCAAGUCAUCAAAAUCAAUUUCGGGAUUCACAAAAUAUCAUGAAAUCAUUAAUCUCGAUCAGAUGGGAAAGACAUUUUUUAAGUGAUUCUUUUUCAUCUAAGCAUGCCUUUGUCUUUAUAUGCCAAAUCAAGAUAAGCAUGAAAGUUCAAGACGUAAAGGCAAAAUCUUAUACAACAACUCAUCAAGCA